This 101-nucleotide microRNA precursor is filed under the name Cebus imitator (Panamanian white-faced capuchin). RNAcentral describes it as "miRNA (ENSCCAG00000020149.1)". Lineage: Eukaryota; Metazoa; Chordata; Mammalia; Primates; Cebidae. The record is from RNAcentral.
UGAGGCAGGAGGAUCACUUGAACCCAGGAAGUGGAGGCUGCAGUGAGCCGAGAUCGUGCCACUGUACUUCAGCCUGGGUGACAGAGUGAGACUCUGUCUCA